CUAACUUUCCCUGGGACAACAGCUACCCGAGACCCAGGCAGAGCACAUAUUGCGGCCACAGGAGCUGACCUGCUAAAACACCAAACCCGUGGAUCUGUUUUGGGCAUAGGACCAUGUGUGCGACCAAGUUCCGCUGCCUGCGUGCGACAAGAUGGCCGCCAUUUUCUUCACCACGUGGCGUUCGGCUAUACGCAUUCUUGUGGUUUGUUUCAACUUAACGAGCCAGGAGGGUCGUCAGUGUUCGUGAUUAGUUCGGCAAACAAAAUAAGAAGAGAAAUAGUACCAAAUGCACGAACGGAAUAUAAAAAGGGCAUAUUUGUCACAUAGCUCCCCCCGAGUUCCACGGGAUGGCACACCCACCU
This is a non-coding RNA of Pelobates cultripes (western spadefoot toad), 362 nucleotides long. Lineage: Eukaryota; Metazoa; Chordata; Amphibia; Anura; Pelobatidae. The record is from the annotation of a GenBank genome assembly.